Molecule: ribosomal RNA, 339 nt
Filed under: Triticum aestivum (bread wheat)
Lineage: Eukaryota; Viridiplantae; Streptophyta; Magnoliopsida; Poales; Poaceae
Description: partial small subunit ribosomal RNA
Source: RNAcentral
AUGUCAUGGCUUAGCUUCAAUGAAGCUGUGGCAGAACAUAUCAAAAUGGGGAUAGGCCAGGAGGUGCGGUUGUUUGCAUUAGACACUAUCGAGAGCACAGUUGAUCUUGUACUUAAUGGUCAGCAACUAAAUUCGCAUUUUAUUGGCAAUCAUUGGGACUUUGAGGCCAAGAAAUCAUUUCUGUUAGCUGAGGUUGUUACGUUGGAGGCACCCAAUGCAAAGAAAGUAGGAAAGAGGCCUCCAAAACAGCCAGCUGCUCCCAAACAGCCGCGUGCUCCCAAACAUCCGCGCGCUCCCAAAAAGCCAGCUACUCCAAAAAGACAACUAACAAAUCUGUAG